AUUGAACGCUGGCGGCAUGCCUUACACAUGCAAGUCGAACGGCAGCACGGGUGCUUGCACCUGGUGGCGAGUGGCGAACGGGUGAGUAAUACAUCGGAACAUGUCCUGUAGUGGGGGAUAGCCCGGCGAAAGCCGGAUUAAUACCGCAUACGAUCUACGGAUGAAAGCGGGGGACCUUCGGGCCUCGCGCUAUAGGGUUGGCCGAUGGCGGAUUAGCUAGUUGGUGGGGUAAAGGCCUAGCAAGGCGACGAUCAGUAGCUGGUCUGAGAGGACGACCAGCCACACUGGAACUGAGACACGGACCAGACUCCUACGGGAGGCAGCAGUGGGGAAUUUUGGACAAUGGGCGAAAGCCUGAUCCAGCAAUGCCGCGUGUGUGAAGAAGGCCUUCGGGUUGUAAAGCACUUUUGUCGGGAAAGAAAUCCUUGGCCCUAAUACGGUGCGGGGAUGACGGUACCGAAAGAAUAAGCACCGGCUAACUACGUG
RNAcentral lists this ribosomal RNA (486 nucleotides) under uncultured bacterium. Its description in RNAcentral is "partial 16S ribosomal RNA". It matches the Rfam family "Bacterial small subunit ribosomal RNA", at positions 30 to 507 of the family's 1533-position model. The record is from RNAcentral.